UACGGAGGGUGCAAGCGUUGUUCGGAUUCAUUGGGCGUAAAGGGUGCGUAGGCGGCGCGGUAAGUCGGGUGUGAAAUCUCGGAGCUUAACUCCGAAACUGCAUUCGAUACUGCCGUGCUUGAGGACUGGAGAGGAGACUGGAAUUUACGGUGUAGCGGUGAAAUGCGUAGAUAUCGUAAGGAAGACCAGUGGCGAAGGCGGGUCUCUGGACAGUUCCUGACGCUGAGGCACGAAGGUCAGGGGAGCAAACGGG
Molecule: ribosomal RNA, 253 nt
Filed under: uncultured bacterium
Lineage: Bacteria
Description: partial 16S ribosomal RNA
Rfam family: Bacterial small subunit ribosomal RNA
Source: RNAcentral